AUGAGAAAUGCGGAUAUGGGACUGAGACCA
This 30-nucleotide non-coding RNA is filed under the name Cricetulus griseus (Chinese hamster). The record is from RNAcentral. RNAcentral also lists the same sequence under 1 other name. Lineage: Eukaryota; Metazoa; Chordata; Mammalia; Rodentia; Cricetidae.